Molecule: ribosomal RNA, 492 nt
Filed under: uncultured bacterium
Lineage: Bacteria
Description: partial 16S ribosomal RNA
Rfam family: Bacterial small subunit ribosomal RNA
Source: RNAcentral
AGUGAACGCUGGCGGUAGGCCUAACACAUGCAAGUCGAACGGCAGCACAGUAAGAGCUUGCUCUUACGGGUGGCGAGUGGCGGACGGGUGAGGAAUACAUCGGAAUCUACUUUUUCGUGGGGGAUAACGUAGGGAAACUUACGCUAAUACCGCAUACGACCUACGGGUGAAAGCAGGGGAUCUUCGGACCUUGCGCGAUUGAAUGAGCCGAUGUCGGAUUAGCUAGUUGGCGGGGUAAAGGCCCACCAAGGCGACGAUCCGUAGCUGGUCUGAGAGGAUGAUCAGCCACACUGGAGCUGAGACACGGCCCAGACUCCUACGGGAGGCAGCAGUGGGGAAUAUUGGACAAUGGGCGCAAGCCUGAUCCAGCCAUACCGCGUGGGUGAAGGAGGCCUUCGGGUUGUAAAGCCCUUUUGUUGGGAAAGAAAAGCAGCAGGUUAAUACCCCGCUGUUCUGACGGUACCCAAAGAAUAAGCACCGGCUAACUUCGUG